This 67-nucleotide transfer RNA is filed under the name Zeugodacus diaphorus. RNAcentral describes it as "tRNA-His". Lineage: Eukaryota; Metazoa; Arthropoda; Insecta; Diptera; Tephritidae. The record is from RNAcentral.
AUCUAAAUAGUUUAUGUUUAAAAUAUUGAUUUGUGGUGUCAAUGAUAUGAAUUAGUCAUUUUAGAUC